GACGAACGCUGGCGGCGUGCCUAAUACAUGCAAGUCGAACGAGAGCGACCGGUGCUUGCACUGGUCAAUCUAGUGGCGAACGGGUGAGUAACACGUGGGUAACCUGCCCAUCAGAGGGGGAUAACAUCCGGAAACGGAUGCUAAAACCGCAUAGGUUCUUUAGUCGCAUGACUGAAGAAGGAAAAGAGGCUUCGGCUUCUGCUGAUGGAUGGACCCGCGGUGCAUUAGCUAGUUGGUGAGGUAACGGCUCACCAAGGCGAUGAUGCAUAGCCGACCUGAGAGGGUGAUCGGCCACAUUGGGACUGAGACACGGCCCAAACUCCUACGGGAGGCAGCAGUAGGGAAUCUUCCGCAAUGGACGCAAGUCUGACGGAGCAACGCCGCAUGAGUGAAGAAGGAUUUCGGUUCGUAAAACUCUGUUGUUAGAGAAGAACAGCGCAUAGAGUAACUGUUAUGCGUGUGACGGAUCUAACCAGAAGCC
RNAcentral lists this ribosomal RNA (481 nucleotides) under Granulicatella elegans. RNAcentral describes it as "bacterial SSU rRNA". It matches the Rfam family "Bacterial small subunit ribosomal RNA", at positions 28 to 492 of the family's 1533-position model. Lineage: Bacteria; Bacillati; Bacillota; Bacilli; Lactobacillales; Carnobacteriaceae. The record is from RNAcentral.